This 23-nucleotide microRNA is filed under the name Caenorhabditis elegans. RNAcentral describes it as "cel-miR-8196a-3p". The record is from miRBase by way of RNAcentral. Lineage: Eukaryota; Metazoa; Nematoda; Chromadorea; Rhabditida; Rhabditidae.
GUAGUUAAUUUUUCUUUGGGAAU